This 464-nucleotide ribosomal RNA is filed under the name Vreelandella stevensii. RNAcentral describes it as "partial 16S ribosomal RNA". It matches the Rfam family "Bacterial small subunit ribosomal RNA", at positions 338 to 795 of the family's 1533-position model. Lineage: Bacteria; Pseudomonadati; Pseudomonadota; Gammaproteobacteria; Oceanospirillales; Halomonadaceae. The record is from RNAcentral.
CCUACGGUGGCAGCAGUCGGGAAUAUUGGACAAUGGGCGAAAGCCUGAUCCAGCCAUGCCGCGUGUGUGAAGAAGGCCUUCGGGUUGUAAAGCACUUUCAGUGGGGAAGAAAGCCUUGGGGCUAAUACCCUCGAGGAAGGACAUCACCCACAGAAGAAGCACCGGCUAACUCCGUGCCAGCAGCCGCGGUAAUACGGAGGGUGCGAGCGUUAAUCGGAAUUACUGGGCGUAAAGCGCGCGUAGGCGGUCUGAUAAGCCGGUUGUGAAAGCCCCGGGCUCAACCUGGGAACGGCAUCCGGAACUGUCAGGCUAGAGUGCAGGAGAGGAAGGUAGAAUUCCCGGUGUAGCGGUGAAAUGCGUAGAGAUCGGGAGGAAUACCAGUGGCGAAGGCGGCCUUCUGGACUGACACUGACGCUGAGGUGCGAAAGCGUGGGUAGCAAACAGGAUUAGAUACCCGGGUAGUC